UCAAAAUGGAGUCGCUCUGGUUUGAAUGC
Molecule: non-coding RNA, 29 nt
Filed under: Homo sapiens (human)
Lineage: Eukaryota; Metazoa; Chordata; Mammalia; Primates; Hominidae
Source: RNAcentral